This 550-nucleotide ribosomal RNA is filed under the name uncultured archaeon. RNAcentral's name for it is "bacterial SSU rRNA". It matches the Rfam family "Archaeal small subunit ribosomal RNA", at positions 325 to 879 of the family's 1478-position model. The record is from RNAcentral.
ACGGGUGCAGCAGGCGCGAAACCUUUACGAUGCGGGAAACCCGUGAUAAGGGAACCCCGAGUGCCUGUAACCACAGGCUGUUCAGGUGUUUAAAACGCAUCUGGAGAAAGGGCCGGGCAAGACCGGUGCCUGCCGCCGCGGUAAUACCGGCGGCUCGAGUGGUGGCCACUAUUACUGGGCUUAAAGCGUCCGUAGCCGGGUUGUUAAGUCUCCUGGGAAAUCCAACGGCUCAACCGUCGGGCGUUCAGGGGAUACUGGCAAUCUAGGGAUCGGGGGAGGUGAGAGGUACUCUAGGGGUAGGAGUGAAAUCCUGUAAUCCUUGGGGGACCACCUGUGGCGAAGGCGUCUCACCAGAACGACUCCGGCGGUGAGGGACGAAAGCUGGGGGAGCAAACCGGAUUAGAUACCCGGGUAGUCUCAGCUGUAAACGAUGCGCGUUAGGUGUAUCGGUGACUACGAGUCACCGAGGUGCCGAAGGGAAACCGUGAAACGUGCCGCCUGGGAAGUACGGUCGCAAGGCUGAAACUUAAAGGAAUUGGCGGGGGAGCAC